Molecule: ribosomal RNA, 274 nt
Filed under: uncultured bacterium
Lineage: Bacteria
Description: partial 16S ribosomal RNA
Rfam family: Bacterial small subunit ribosomal RNA
Source: RNAcentral
AUACGGAGGGUGCGAGCGUUAAUCGGAAUUACUGGGCGUAAAGCGUGCGUAGGCGGUUUGCUAAGUCAGAUGUGAAAGCCCCGGGCUUAACCUGGGAACUGCAUUUGAUACUGGCAGACUAGAGUAUGAUAGAGGGGGGUAGAAUUCCUGGUGUAGCGGUGAAAUGCGUAGAUAUCAGGAGGAAUACCAGUGGCGAAGGCGGCCCCCUGGAUCAAUACUGCCGCUGAGGUACGAAAGCGUGGGGAGCGAACAGGAUUAGAAACCCUAGUAGUCC